GAUGAACGCUGGCGGCGUGCCUAAUACAUGCAAGUCGAGCGAACGGACGAGAAGCUUGCUUCUCUGAUGUUAGCGGCGGACGGGUGAGUAACACGUGGAUAACCUACCUAUAAGACUGGGAUAACUUCGGGAAACCGGAGCUAAUACCGGAUAAUAUUUUGAACCGCAUGGUUCAAAAGUAAAAGACGGUCUUGCUGUCACUUAUAGAUGGAUCCGCGCUGCAUUAGCUAGUUGGUAAGGUAACGGCUUACCAAGGCAACGAUGCAUAGCCGACCUGAGAGGGUGAUCGGCCACACUGGAACUGAGACACGGUCCAGAAUACUACGGGAGGCAGCAGUAGGAAAUCUACCGCAAUGGGCGAAAGCCUGACGGAGCAACGCCGCGUGAGUGAUGAAGAUCUUCGGAUCGUAAAACUCUGUUAUUAGGGAAGAACAUAUGUGUAAGUAACUGUGCACAUCUUGACGGUAACUAAUCAGAAAGCCACGGCUAACUACGUG
RNAcentral lists this ribosomal RNA (497 nucleotides) under uncultured bacterium. RNAcentral's name for it is "partial 16S ribosomal RNA". It matches the Rfam family "Bacterial small subunit ribosomal RNA", at positions 28 to 507 of the family's 1533-position model. The record is from RNAcentral.